This 30-nucleotide non-coding RNA is filed under the name Mus musculus (house mouse). The record is from RNAcentral. Lineage: Eukaryota; Metazoa; Chordata; Mammalia; Rodentia; Muridae.
UGGUAUGAGGUCUCUGUAUCUGUUGCCAUC